This 373-nucleotide ribosomal RNA is filed under the name uncultured eukaryote. Its description in RNAcentral is "partial 18S ribosomal RNA". It matches the Rfam family "Eukaryotic small subunit ribosomal RNA", at positions 592 to 975 of the family's 1831-position model. The record is from RNAcentral.
CAAUAGCGUAUAUUUAAGUUGUUGCAGUUAAAAAGCUCGUAGUUGGAUUUCUGCUGAUCGCUGUCGGUCUGCCGUCAGGUGUGUACUGGCAGUGUUUGGCAUCUAUUCGAGAUUGGGUGUCCACUUGAUUGUGUGCACUCGAUGUCGGAGCUAAUACUUUGUGAAAAUUAGAGUGUUCCACGCAGGCGCGUGCCUUGAAUACUGCAGCAUGGGAUAUUGGAAGGCCGAUUGAGCUUUCUUGUUGGUUCUCGGUUUGAUCGGAAUGAUUAAUAGGGAUAGUUGGGGGCAUUCGUAUUCAACUGUCAGAGGUGAAAUUCUUGGAUUUGUUGAAGACGGACUACUGCGAAAGCAUCUGCCAUGGAUGUUCUCAUUG